RNAcentral lists this transfer RNA (72 nucleotides) under Marmota monax (woodchuck). RNAcentral describes it as "tRNA.Thr". It matches the Rfam family "tRNA". From Rfam's summary of the family: Transfer RNA (tRNA) molecules are approximately 80 nucleotides in length. Their secondary structure includes four short double-helical elements and three loops (D, anti-codon, and T loops). The record is from RNAcentral. Lineage: Eukaryota; Metazoa; Chordata; Mammalia; Rodentia; Sciuridae.
UGGGGAUAUAGCUCAGUGGUAGAGUGCUUGCCUAGUAUGCGAGAGGCCCUGGGUUUGAUUCCUUGCACCUAA